CCUACGGGUGGCAGCAGUGAGGAAUAUUGGUCAAUGGCCGAGAGGCUGAACCAGCCAAGUCGCGUGAGGGAAGACGGCCCUACGGGUUGUAAACCUCUUUUGUCGGGGAGCAAAGCGAGUCACGUCUGCCUCAUUGAGAGUACCCGCUGAAUAAGCAUCGGCUAACUCCGUGCCAGCAGCCGCGGUAAUACGAAUGGUGCAAGCGUUAUCCGGAUUUACUGGGUGUAAAGGGAGCGCAGGCGGCGCGUUAAGCCUGGUGUGAAAGCCCGCGGCUCAACCGCGGGACUGCAUUGGGGACUGGCGCGCUGGAGUGCCGGAGGGGUAGGCGGAAGUCCUAGUGUAGCGGUGAAAUGCGUAGAUAUUAGGAGGAACACCAGUGGCGAAGGCGGCCUACUGGACGGUGACUGACGCUGAGGCGCGAAAGCGUGGGGAGCAAACAGGAUUAGAUACCCGAGUAGUC
This 460-nucleotide ribosomal RNA is filed under the name uncultured bacterium. Its description in RNAcentral is "partial 16S ribosomal RNA". It matches the Rfam family "Bacterial small subunit ribosomal RNA", at positions 338 to 795 of the family's 1533-position model. The record is from RNAcentral.